Molecule: long non-coding RNA, 1404 nt
Filed under: Salmo salar (Atlantic salmon)
Lineage: Eukaryota; Metazoa; Chordata; Actinopteri; Salmoniformes; Salmonidae
Description: lncRNA (ENSSSAG00000119827.1)
Source: RNAcentral
GCAUAUUAUUAACACAUUCGGAUAGAAAACACUCUGAAUUUUCUAAAACAGUUUGAAUGGUGUCUGUAAGUAUAACAAAACUCCUAUUGCAGGCAAAAAUCUGUGAAAAAUAGAUCCAAAAAAAUGUGAAUUUUGUGACUGUACUAUUUAGUGUCAUUGUUUUAUAGAUACCAUAGUGAGAAAGGAUUCAUUUCCCAACACCUACGGCUUCCACUAGAUGUCAACGAUCUUUAUAAAGUUGUUUGAAGCGUCUAUGAUAAACAGAGAGCAAAUUAGAAUCCAAGGAAGUUGACAUGUCAUCACUUCAUUUUUUUGCGCCUGCGCAUAAAUCUGAGAAACGUGAGUUUGUCAUCAUUUUUUAUCUAGACAUAGGAUAGGUUGUGUGAAAAUAUUACUGAUGUUUAACGUUAAAAAUGGACCAAAAGAUUAAUGCUAAACAACAUUUGACAUGUUUGAACGAACAUAAAUAGAUUAUUUACUAGGUUUUUUUAGCUUUUCGGCGUGAUUUUACCAGCCCCACACCACGUUUUGUGGGAGCAUAAUGAACGCUAAGUACUUGGUGUUAUUUGGACAUAAAUUAUGAACUUUGUCAAGAGAAACCACAUUUGUUCCGGACCUGGAAUGCCUUCCGGACCUGGGAUCCUGCCUUCUGAUGGAGAUAAUCAAAGACCUGAGCCCUAGGACCAUGCCUCAGGACUACCUGGCCUGAUGACUCCUUGCUGUCCCCAGUCCACCUGGCCGUGCUGCUGCUCCAGUUUCUGCCUGCGGCUAUGGAACCCUGACCUGUUCACCGGACGUGCUACCUGUCCCAGACCUGGAGUUUUCAACUCUCUAGAGACAGCAGGAGUAGUAGAGAUACUCUGAAUGAUCGGCUAUGAAAAGCCAACUGACAUUUACUCCUGAGGUGCUGACCUGUUGCACCCUUGACAUUUACUGUGAUUAUCACUAUUUGACCCUGCUGGUCAUCUAUGAACAUUUCAACAUCUUGGCCAUGUUCUGUUAUAAUCUCCACCCAGCACAGUCAGAAGAGGACUGGCCACCCCUCACAGCCUGGUUCCUCUCUAGGUUUCUUCCUAGGUUCUGGCCUUUCUAGGGAGUUUUUCCUAGCCACCGUGCUUCCACACCUGCAAUGCUUGCUGUUUGGGGUUUUAGGCUGGGUUUCUGUACAGGUCUUUGAUAUAUCAGCUGAUGUAAGAAGGGCUUUAUAAAUACAUUUGAUUUGAUGAAAGAAAUAAAUAAAAGCUGAAAUAAAUCAUUCUCUACUAUUAUUCUGACAUUUUGUCACGGUUGUCGUUGGUAAUGGAGGACCAAAAUGCAGCAGGUAUGUGUACGCUCAUCUUGACAUUUAUUAACUCAGAAUUAACACACCAAAACAACAAAACGAAACGAACUUACGAAACAGUC